This 271-nucleotide ribosomal RNA is filed under the name uncultured bacterium. Its description in RNAcentral is "partial 16S ribosomal RNA". It matches the Rfam family "Bacterial small subunit ribosomal RNA", at positions 88 to 354 of the family's 1533-position model. The record is from RNAcentral.
CCGGCGACCGGCGCACGGGUGAGUAACACGUAUGCAACCUGGCCGUCACAGGUGGAUAACCGGAAGAAAUUCCGACUAAUACAGCAUAACACUCCUGAGGGACAUCCUUCGGGAGUCAAAGGAGGCAACUCCGGUGACGGAUGGGCAUGCGGCGCAUUAGGGUAGUUGGUAGGGUAACGGCCUACCAAGCCGACGAUGCGUAGGGGUUCUGAGAGGAAGGUCCCCCACAUUGGAACUGAGACACGGUCCAAACUCCUACGGGAGGCAGCAG